CGUACACUCCUGCGGGAGGCAGCAGUAGGGAAUCUUCGGCAAUGGGGGCAACCCUGACCGAGCAACGCCGCGUGAGUGAAGAAGGUUUUCGGAUCGUAAAGCUCUGUUGUAAGUCAAGAACGAGUGUGAGAGUGGAAAGUUCACACUGUGACGGUAGCUUACCAGAAAGGGACGGCUAACUACGUGCCAGCAGCCGCGGUAAUACGUAGGUCCCGAGCGUUGUCCGGAUUUAUUGGGCGUAAAGCGAGCGCAGGCGGUUUGAUAAGUCUGAAGUUAAAGGCUGUGGCUCAACCAUAGUUCGCUUUGGAAACUGUCAAACUUGAGUGCAGAAGGGGAGAGUGGAAUUCCAUGUGUAGCGGUGAAAUGCGUAGAUAUAUGGAGGAACACCGGUGGCGAAAGCGGCUCUCUGGUCUGUAACUGACGCUGAGGCUCGAAAGCGUGGGGAGCGAACAGGAUUAGAAACCCUAGUAGUCCCA
This 476-nucleotide ribosomal RNA is filed under the name uncultured organism. RNAcentral describes it as "partial 16S ribosomal RNA". It matches the Rfam family "Bacterial small subunit ribosomal RNA", at positions 330 to 797 of the family's 1533-position model. The record is from RNAcentral.